ACGAGUGGCGGACGGGUGAGUAAUGCUUGGGAACUUGCCUUUGCGAGGGGGAUAACAGUUGGAAACGACUGCUAAUACCGCAUAAUGUCUACGGACCAAACGGGGCUUAGGCUCCGGCGCAAAGAGAGGCCCAAGUGAGAUUAGCUAGAUGGUGAGGUAAAGGCUCACCAUGGCAACGAUCUCUAGCUGUUCUGAGAGGAAGAUCAGCCACACUGGGACUGAGACACGGCCCAGACUCCUACGGGAGGCAGCAGUGGGGAAUAUUGCACAAUGGGGGAAACCCUGAUGCAGCCAUGCCGCGUGUGUGAAGAAGGCCUUCGGGUUGUAAAGCACUUUCAGUUGUGAGGAAAGGGUGUUGGUUAAUACCCAAUAUCUGUGACGUUAACAACAGAAGAAGCACCGGCUAACUCCGUGCCAGCAGCCGCGGUAAUACGGAGGGUGCGAGCGUUAAUCGGAAUUACUGGGCGUAAAGCGCACGCAGGCGGUUUGUUAAGCUAGAUGUGAAAGCCCCGGGCUCAACCUGGGACGGUCAUUUAGAACUGGCAGACUAGAGUCUUGGAGAGGGGAGUGGAAUUCCAGGUGUAGCGGUGAAAUGCGUAGAUAUCUGGAGGAACAUCAGUGGCGAAGGCGACUCCCUGGCCGAAGACUGACGCUCAUGUGCGAAAGUGUGGGUAGCGAACAGGAUUAGAUACCCUGGUAGUCCACACCGUAAACGCUGUCUACUAGCUGUGUGUGAAUUUAAUUCGUGCGUAGCGAAGCUAACGCGCUAAGUAGACCGCCUGGGGAGUACGGCCGCAAGGUGAAAACUCAAAUGAAUUGACAGGGGCCCGCACAAGCGGUG
Molecule: ribosomal RNA, 841 nt
Filed under: uncultured bacterium
Lineage: Bacteria
Description: bacterial SSU rRNA
Rfam family: Bacterial small subunit ribosomal RNA
Source: RNAcentral